Long non-coding RNA from Nyctereutes procyonoides (raccoon dog), 3445 nucleotides. RefSeq lists it as uncharacterized. The transcript has 4 exons. Lineage: Eukaryota; Metazoa; Chordata; Mammalia; Carnivora; Canidae. The record is from RefSeq and is a predicted model, not a curated record.
CAAGAAGCCGCAUAGGCUCUUUGUCCUAGGGACCUUCCCUGGGGCCCCAACCCAAUUUGACUCCACUGACCUCAGGCGCUUAAUUUAACUCUUCUGGGAAGGAAAUCGCUUUGGUUUCCGUAUGGACAGACAUCCUUUUAAGAUGACCCCAAGAGGAUGGAAAUUCAUUCACAUCUAUUUUUGUCACCCAGAACCCCACUUUGGAAGAUAUACAAAAUUUGUUAAGUAUUCUCCUCACUUCUGAGGAAUGACACUUAAUACUAAAAAAAAAAAAAAAAAAGCUAGGGAAGUUACCUGGCUGCAUGCUAAAACCCCCAUAACUCCCUAAGAGCUAAUGCCAUGAUGCCUGUUCCUACUGUGAGGCGAACGUGAUAACCACUACACUACGGAAACCAGCCUCCUACUGUGAAUCCCAACUGGAAUGUCAACAUUGGAGACCGAGGAUCCUGACAUGGAAAUGUUUACUGAUGGAAACAGCUUCAUGGGCCAAGGACAACAGAAAACUGGAUAUGCAGAGAUUACCAGCUAAGGAACUUCGGAGGUGGAAACUCCUCCACCAGAUACCUCUGUUCAAAAGGCAGGACUCAUUGCCGUAACAAGGGCCCUUUAUUUGGUAAAGGCAAAAGAAAUAUUUCUUAUUGCCUCUGUAAUAUAGGCCUGAGAACCCACCUGCAGGAACCACCUCCUGAGAUGAGCCAGCUGUUUAACUGAACUGACCUAUUCUCAAGACUGAGACUGGUUCAUGAUGUAUGGAGCCGACUUUGUACCUACAGUCCAGAAUGAAUAUGAGGGAACAGUGUUGAUUUGUGAUGUUUUUGUAAGAAAAAAAAUCUUGGUCAAAAGAGGGACCUUCUCAUUACUCCUAACCAAUCCUGGGCUUAUCUAGCUAGGUACUAGCUAGAUAAUUUGGAGAAUUGGAGGGGUCUACACACUAGGGAAUUUGGUUACUCCUUUCUCUGUUCACUUUUAGACCUUUUAUUGAGCGAAAAGGGAAUCGACACCAGAUAGGGAUUACUUGCCUGGUUAUCAAGAGGCUAGAUCUUGGUAUUCUUUUGGGAGAACAUUUUUAGUUGGCCGACAAAGCUGCUCUUACCAUUGUUGCCCAACAAAAAGAAAGUAAAUGUGUUAGCUAAGGUAGCACUUGAUAAUCACAUUGCUUUGCACUAUAUUCUUGCAGAACAGGAUAGAAUGCCAUUGCUAACACAACUCGCUGUGUUUAUAUUAACGCUUCUGCUGCAGUAAAAACUAAAAUCUCAUUUAGAUAAAAUCAGAGAGCAAGCCACUUGGCCAUAGCAAAUUUCGCCAGAGGUGCCUGGAAAAAGUGACUGGAUUACUGGACUCUUUUUCUGGAUUCCCCAAGGGAUUAGCAAUGUUACAAGGACUACUCAGAUUUGGGUUAUCUAUACUUUUCAUUUCAUUAAUUGUAUCUGUACUAAUAAGAUGUGCUUUCCAAUGUUGCUCUAAAAUGGCCAAAGAAGAAACUAAUGUUUUGGUCAUGCAGAAUGUACAUGUUAAGCCAAAUACUAGGGAAUACUUCCAACAAAGUGCAAAGUAGUUUCAUUCCUCAAACCCUGAAACUGCAGGAAGUAGCCAGAGCAGUCAUUGUCCCAAUUCCUUCAAGACUGAGGAAUGAUCAUAACUCUGGGGGGACUGAAAAUGUGCCCCAUAGGAUUAAUGAGGUUAAGACUAAUAGGAAAUUUAAAGCUUGUUUUUCGGAGGCCUGUCUCUCCCUAAUCAGCUAUUGUUUCGUUUCAGACCCCACAACAAAUCCACUAAUUGUUUCCAUUGAGGCUUGGACUGAUAUAAAUGAGGCUCACUGACACCAAUGCCCUGCAUUCCUUCCCUGUGAUAAUGAGCCCAAGAAUUUAUGCAGUAUAUACUUCCUUUCAGAGAUGGGCAUAGCCCCUCUUGUCCUACAGUUGACUUCCUGACAUCAGGCACCCAAUUGUGCCUCGUUUUAAUGUUGUAUCUCCACCCUAAAGUGAACAUGGGAUGCACAUGCUCCAUCUUUCCUCAUGAAUAGUCAUAAAUCUCCCUGUCUUUUGCAUCAAUAUGUAUGUAAUCCCACCCCUAAGAUUAUAAACAUUUGUUCUAAUUUCACUCAGGGGAGACAGAUUUGAACCAACCUCUGUUUCCCCUUUUUGCUGCCUUUCGAAUAAAUCUUUUCCCUGCUGCAUACUUGAUGUUUCAGUGAUUGGUUUUGCCAUGCAUUGGGCAGACAAACUUGGGUUCAUUUACAGCAUUUGCAAUUGGUUGUGUUUAAAUAAAUUUUCAAUUAAUUAAAGUUGUAAAUUUACAAACAGAUUUUCUUAAGUUUUUAAGUUGAACUUGCAUAACUUUGAUGUUCUAUUUAGAAAUCUUGUAAUUUUCGUAUAAAAAUAAAAGCAAUAACUUGUUCCUUGAUUAAUGUUCAAUUAGCCCAUGGGCUUGACAUAUUAAAUCUGCUUGAACAUUACUCUUGCCAUUUACAAAGUUAACUAAGUUCUCUUACAUAUUUAAACUACAUUUACAAAUUUAAUAUACUUGAUUUUUUUCAAGCACUUCAAAUUCCUCAUAUGGCCAAUUUAUACGUCAAACAAGAAAAAAUUCAAGCAUGUAAAUGACUCUCAUAAACCUAAUAUUUCAAGUUUUUUAAGUGUGGCAAAUCAAGUUAUCUUAAAGAUUUCAAUACUGUUUACAAACAUAAUCAAAUUAUCUUAUACCUUUCAGCUUCAAAUUACAAGUCUAAAAUAAAUUACACAAUUCAAUUUGAAAUCACAAGACUAAUCUGUCAGAUUCUUUAAUAUGCCAACUUCUCUUAAAUAUUAUACAUAUUAAAAACAUGUAUACAGACUAUCUCAAUUUUCAAAAAUUUUUUCCUUAAGCCUCCUGGGUGGCUCAAUCUAUUGGGCGUCUGACUCUUGGUUUCCACUCAGGGUCUUGAGAUCAACCCACCCUUUGGGCUCUGUGCUGACCCGGAGUCUACUUAAGAUUCUCUCUCACCUCCCUCUGUUCCUCCUUGAAACUCCAACUCUCUAUCUCUCUCUUAAAAAAAAUCUUUUUGCUAACCUUACACAAAUGAAGUAAUAUUAUGGACUUCUUUUUAUAUAGUCGUUUCUAUUUUCCUUCCCAAUAUGGCAGAAUAAAAAUGUUUUCUGUUCAUAUUUUUCUUGCCACAAUUCUACAGUCAUCUUACUGAUUUGUCCCUACAACUAAAGAACAGCCUGAUAAUUAUCCUUCUAUUUUUUAAAGGUUUAUUUAUUUUAUAUGAAAGAGAGAGUGAGCAUGAGUAGAAGGAGAGAGAAUCUCAUGCAAACUGUGCUGAGCACGUAGCCUGACUCAGGGCUUGAUCUCACAACCCUGAGAUCAUGACCUGAGCCGAACCACAAGUCAGAUUAACCGACUGCACCACCCAGACGUCCUUGAUAAUUAUCCUUCUGCGUGUAAACCCAGAUUUAAAUGAAAC